UUGUACAGCAACUGGUAGUGAUCGUAGGCAACUUCACAGUUUCCAGCCUAGAAAAACACAUGCAAAUGAAUUGCACGAUAUCCUGAAUUGCGCCCACAUGGCCUUGUUGCUCCCGGCACCAUCACUGACGACUGCUAUCACUACUGCAUUUUGCUUGAAAAGUUCGAGAACAGCCUCAAGCACAAGCCUGGCAAGGACAUCACCUGGUGCAGCUCCCUUGCUGGCGAAGCUGGCGAUUGGCUGUACCCAGUUACUGAAUAAAGGCACAUACAUGAACACAA
Molecule: long non-coding RNA, 281 nt
Organism: Rhipicephalus sanguineus (brown dog tick)
Lineage: Eukaryota; Metazoa; Arthropoda; Arachnida; Ixodida; Ixodidae
Exons: 2
Source: RefSeq, a predicted model, not a curated record